RNAcentral lists this ribosomal RNA (254 nucleotides) under uncultured bacterium. RNAcentral describes it as "partial 16S ribosomal RNA". It matches the Rfam family "Bacterial small subunit ribosomal RNA", at positions 524 to 777 of the family's 1533-position model. The record is from RNAcentral.
UACGUAGGGGGCGAGCGUUGUCCGGAUUCAUUGGGCGUAAAGCGCGCGUAGGCGGCUCCGCAAGUCGGCCGUGAAAUCUCCGGGCUCAACUCGGAGGGGUCGGGCGAGACUGCGAGGCUCGAGGUGGGCAGAGGGCAGUGGAAUUCCGGGUGUAGUGGUGGAAUGCGUAGAGAUCCGGAGGAACACCAGUGGCGAAGGCGGCUGCCUGGGCCUGGCCUGACGCUGAGGCGCGAAAGCGUGGGGAGCAAUCCGGG